AUUGAACGCUGGCUGCAGGCCUAACACAUGCAAGUCGAGCGAGCGGCGGACGGGUGAGUAAUGUAUGGGGACUGCCCGAUAGAGGGGGAUAACUACUGGAAACGGUGGCUAAUACCGCAUACUAUCGGAUAAUCCCUAUGGGAUUAGCUAGUAGGUGGGGUAAAGGCUCAACUAGGCGACGAUCUCUAGCUGGUCUGAGAGGAUGAUCAGCCACAGUGGAACUGAGACACGGCCCAGACACAUACGGAGGCAGCAGUGAGGAAUAUUGCACAAUGGGCGCAAGCCUGAUACAGCCAUGACGCGUGGAUGAAGAAGGCCUUAGGGUUGUAAAGUACGUUCAGCGGGGAGGCGUUACCCGCAGAAGAAGCACCGGAUAACUCCGUGCCAGCAGCAGCGGUAAUUC
Molecule: ribosomal RNA, 403 nt
Filed under: uncultured bacterium
Lineage: Bacteria
Description: partial 16S ribosomal RNA
Rfam family: Bacterial small subunit ribosomal RNA
Source: RNAcentral